CGCAAAUGGCGGCAAGCUACACAUGCAGUCGAACGGUAACAGGAAACAGCUUGCUUUUUUGCUGACGAGUGGCGGACGGGUGAGUAAUGUCUGGGAAACUGCCUGAUGGAGGGGGAUAACUACUGGAAACGGUAGCUAAUACCGCAUAACGUCGCAAGACCAAAGAGGGGGACCUUCGGGCCUCUUGCCAUCGGAUGUGCCCAGAUGGGAUUAGCUAGUAGGUGGGGUAACGGCUCACCUAGGCGACGAUCCCUAGCUGGUCUGAGAGGAUGACCAGCCACACUGGAACUGAGACACGGUCCAGACUCCUACGGGAGGCAGCAGUGGGGAAUAUUGCACAAUGGGCGCAAGCCUGAUGCAGCCAUGCCGCGUGUAUGAAGAAGGCCUUCGGGUUGUAAAGUACUUUCAGCGGGGAGGAAGGGAGUAAAGUUAAUACCUUUGCUCAUUGACGUUACCCGCAGAAGAAGCACCGGCUAACUCCGUGCCAGCAGCCGCGGUAAUACGGAGGGUGCAAGCGUUAAUCGGAAUUACUGGGCGUAAAGCGCACGCAGGCGGUUUGUUAAGUCAGAUGUGAAAUCCCCGGGCUCAACCUGGGAACUGCAUCUGAUACUGGCAAGCUUGAGUCUCGUAGAGGGGGGUAGAAUUCCAGGUGUAGCGGUGAAAUGCGUAGAGAUCUGGAGGAAUACCGGUGGCGAAGGCGGCCCCCUGGACGAAGACUGACGCUCAGGUGCGAAAGCGUGGGGAGCAAACAGGAUUAGAUACCCUGGUAGUCCACGCCGUAAACGAUGUCGACUUGGAGGUUGUGCCCUUGAGGCGUGGCUUCCGGAGCUAACGCGUUAAGUCGACCGCCUGGGGAGUACGGCCGCAAGGUUAAAACUCAAAUGAAUUGACGGGGGCCCGCACAAGCGGUGGAGCAUGUGGUUUAAUUCGAUGCAACGCGAAGAACCUUACCUGGUCUUGACAUCCACAGAACCUUGUAGAGAUACGAGGGUGCCUUCGGGAACUGUGAGACAGGUGCUGCAUGGCUGUCGUCAGCUCGUGUUGUGAAAUGUUGGGUUAAGUCCCGCAACGAGCGCAACCCUUAUCCUUUGUUGCCACCGGUCCGGCCGGGAAUUCAAAGGAGACUGCCCUUGAUAAACUGGAGGAAGAGUGGGGGAGAAAGUCAAAUCAUCAUGGGCCCUUUAAACAAGGGGUACAACAUGGUUAAAUGGGGGCAUAAAAAAGAAACCACCUCCCGAGAGAAAGGGACUCCUAAAAGGGGGCAAUACCCGGAGGGGUGAGGCCCCCUCCUCCCCCUAAUUAGGAAUCGCUAGUAAUCGUGGAUCAGAAUGCCACGGUGAAUACGUUCCCGGGCCUUGUACACACCGCCCGUCACACCAUGGGAGUGGGUUGCAAAAGAAGUAGGUAGCUUAACCUUCGGGAGGGCGCUUACCACUUUGUGAUUCAUGACUGGGGUGAAGUCGUAACAAGUACGCUAUGCCCC
RNAcentral lists this ribosomal RNA (1483 nucleotides) under Citrobacter freundii. RNAcentral's name for it is "bacterial SSU rRNA". It matches the Rfam family "Bacterial small subunit ribosomal RNA". Lineage: Bacteria; Pseudomonadati; Pseudomonadota; Gammaproteobacteria; Enterobacterales; Enterobacteriaceae. The record is from RNAcentral.